RNAcentral lists this transfer RNA (66 nucleotides) under Brachymeria sp. ZJUH_2016006. Its description in RNAcentral is "tRNA-Leu". The record is from RNAcentral. Lineage: Eukaryota; Metazoa; Arthropoda; Insecta; Hymenoptera; Chalcididae.
UUUACUUUGGCAGAUUAGUGUAUUAAAUUUAGAAUUUAAAUAUAAGAUUAUAAUUCUUAGGUAAAA